UACGUAGGGUGCGAGCGUUAAUCGGAAUUACUGGGCGUAAAGGGCUCGUAGGCGGCCAACUAAGUCAGACGUGAAAUCCCCAGGCUCAACCUGGGAACUGCGUCUGAUACUGGUUGGCUUGAAUCCGGGAGAGGGAUGCAGAAUUCCAGGUGUAGCGGUGAAAUGCGUAGAUAUCUGGAGGAAUACCGGUGGCGAAGGCGGCAACCUGGACCGGCAUUGACGCUGAGGAGCGAAAGCCAGGGGAGCAAACGGG
Molecule: ribosomal RNA, 253 nt
Filed under: uncultured bacterium
Lineage: Bacteria
Description: partial 16S ribosomal RNA
Rfam family: Bacterial small subunit ribosomal RNA
Source: RNAcentral